GGGGUUGUGGCUCAAUGGUAGAGCACUUGCCUAGCAUAUGUAAGAUACUAGGUUCAAUUCUCAGCACCA
This 69-nucleotide transfer RNA is filed under the name Ictidomys tridecemlineatus (thirteen-lined ground squirrel). Its description in RNAcentral is "Spermophilus tridecemlineatus (thirteen-lined ground squirrel) tRNA". It matches the Rfam family "tRNA". From Rfam's summary of the family: Transfer RNA (tRNA) molecules are approximately 80 nucleotides in length. Their secondary structure includes four short double-helical elements and three loops (D, anti-codon, and T loops). The record is from Rfam by way of RNAcentral. Lineage: Eukaryota; Metazoa; Chordata; Mammalia; Rodentia; Sciuridae.